This is a small nuclear RNA of Mustela putorius furo (domestic ferret), 108 nucleotides long. The record is from Ensembl. NCBI's taxonomy places the organism in Eukaryota, Metazoa, Chordata, Mammalia, Carnivora, Mustelidae.
GUGCUCGCUUCGGCAGCACAUAUACUAAAAUUGGAACGAUACAGAGAAGAUUAGCAUGGCCCCUGCGCAUGGAAGGUGCUUAAGUCAUGAGAGUGGGGCCCUCAUUAA